Long non-coding RNA from Oncorhynchus kisutch (coho salmon), 705 nucleotides. RefSeq lists it as uncharacterized. The record is from RefSeq and is a predicted model, not a curated record. The transcript is spliced from 2 exons. Lineage: Eukaryota; Metazoa; Chordata; Actinopteri; Salmoniformes; Salmonidae.
AAACUAGAUUCGAGACAAUGUACUAAGUAUUUGAACAUGUUAUUACUCCAACCUCGUGAAAGUGACAAACUGACACGUUUUUAGUUAUUGCACAUGCGCAGCUUAACGCGAGACAACCGUUACACCCGAUUACGUGUUUUUGCGCAUGAGCAGUUGCCGGGGUCACGUGCUAGUUGGAACUAGGAAACUCCGAUAUUUCCAACAUUCGUUGAACGCGGCACGUGUAUAACUACAACCAGUUAGGAGGUUGGACAUUUCCGAGUUUCGACAAGCACUUGGACGCGGCACCAGCUAGCCAACGUCGCCAUGACAUCGCCUACAAGCGUGAUCAGAUGUGUUUCCUUCCUGAAAGUCAGAAAGCAGUACUUCUCCUCUUUUCCAACCCCAGUCUGACGCACAUGCGUCCUCCAGGGAAGUGGGGAGGGGUGGAGGUGGGGAGGGCAAACAGAAAAAGAUUGGGUAAUAAAUGUUGUGGUUUCUUCGGUUGGAAAACUAUUUGGUGAUGGUUCCUUAUUCACUUUUCACGGAUCUACACACUUCACAGUUUUCACAUCAUUGCCUUUUCCACACAGGUUUCAAUAACUUUAUCCAUGGCAUAGACACACAUGUACAGAGCACAUGAUUCGGAGUUCUUCUGUUGAAGGCUAUCAUAAUGUCAUGCUGAUCUGACACUGGUGUAUAAGAAGAAUAAAGAGCAAACAUCUU